UGGAAAAGCCAUUUGUGGGACUCCAAGCUGGAAGGAAAAGGCAGAGUUGGAGAGAGCUGUAGCGGGAGACAGAGAAAGGGCAGGGUCUCUCCGGAUGCUCCAAGACAGUAAUCACUAGCAGGAUUGGAAAUGUCACUGACAUGCUGCUUAGGAAGUGAUUUGAAUAGAGGAGGAUGGAAUAAAAUGGAGAUCGUGUUUCUUUCUAAACACAGGAGGAAUAGUGAUGGGGGAGACACAGUACAAAGGCAGAGGACCAGAGCUCAGGGAUCUCAGUCAACAUCAAGUGUGUCCUGGCGAGAAAGACUGAAAUCCUGCUAAUAACAUUUCUUCAAAUCUCUCUUUAGUCAGGAACUAUGCUAAGUACUUUAUAUGUAGUAACUAGCACUCUGUGUCUCAUCUAAGAUUCAACUCAACUUUUACAUCACCAGUGAGAUCUUGGCCAAUUGUCCUAAGCAAUAGGCAAGAGAAAUUUUAAGUGGCCAGAGCUGACGUGGAGGAGAUAUGGGGCAAGAGCUG
Gorilla gorilla gorilla (western lowland gorilla) is the source of this 516-nucleotide long non-coding RNA. RefSeq lists it as uncharacterized. NCBI's taxonomy places the organism in Eukaryota, Metazoa, Chordata, Mammalia, Primates, Hominidae. The record is from RefSeq and is a predicted model, not a curated record. The transcript is spliced from 3 exons.